Molecule: ribosomal RNA, 498 nt
Filed under: uncultured Stenotrophomonas sp.
Lineage: Bacteria; Pseudomonadati; Pseudomonadota; Gammaproteobacteria; Lysobacterales; Lysobacteraceae
Description: bacterial SSU rRNA
Rfam family: Bacterial small subunit ribosomal RNA
Source: RNAcentral
UCUACCCUGUCGUGGGGGAUAACGUAGGGAAACUUACGCUAAUACCGCAUACGACCGAGAGGUGAAAGUGGGGGACCGCAAGGCCUCACGCGAUUGGAUGAGCCGAUGCCGGAUUAGCUAGUUGGUGGGGUAAAGGCCCACCAAGGCGACGAUCCGUAGCUGGUCUGAGAGGAUGAUCAGCCACACUGGGACUGAGACACGGCCCAGACUCCUACGGGAGGCAGCAGUGGGGAAUAUUGGACAAUGGGCGCAAGCCUGAUCCAGCCAUGCCGCGUGUGUGAAGAAGGCCUUCGGGUUGUAAAGCACUUUCGUUCGGGAAGAAAUCGUGCGGAUUAAUACUUCGUACGGAUGACGGUACCGAAAGAAUAAGCACCGGCUAACUUCGUGCCAGCAGCCGCGGUAAUACGAAGGGUGCAAGCGUUACUCGGAAUCACUGGGCGUAAAGCGUGCGUAGGCGGUUCGUUAAGUCUGCUGUGAAAGCCCUGGGCUCAACCUGGG